Molecule: ribosomal RNA, 460 nt
Filed under: uncultured bacterium
Lineage: Bacteria
Description: partial 16S ribosomal RNA
Rfam family: Bacterial small subunit ribosomal RNA
Source: RNAcentral
CCUACGGGUGGCAGCAGUGAGGAAUAUUGGUCAAUGGCCGGAAGGCUGAACCAGCCAUGCCGCGUGAAGGUCAGUGCCCUAUGGGCGUUAAACUUCUUUUGUGCGGGAGCAAUAAUGGUCACGUGUGACCAGACGAGAGUACCGUACGAAUAAGCAUCGGCUAACUCCGUGCCAGCAGCCGCGGUCAUACGGGGGAUGCAAGCGUUAUCCGGAUUUAUUGGGUUUAAAGGGUGCGUAGGCUGUGAGGUAAGUCAGCGGUGAAAUGCCCCCGCUCAACGGGGUGAAGUGCCAUUGAUACUGCCUGGCUUGAAUGCGGAUGCCGUGGGAGGAAUGUGUGGUGUAGCGGUGAAAUGCAUAGAUAUCACACAGAACACCGAUUGCGAAGGCAUCUCACGAAUCCGCGAUUGACGCUGAUGCACGAAAGCGUGGGUAUCAAACAGGAUUAGAUACCCUGGUAGUC